This 433-nucleotide ribosomal RNA is filed under the name uncultured bacterium. Its description in RNAcentral is "partial 16S ribosomal RNA". It matches the Rfam family "Bacterial small subunit ribosomal RNA", at positions 29 to 507 of the family's 1533-position model. The record is from RNAcentral.
AACGAACGCUGGCGGCAUGCCUAACACAUGCAAGUCGAACGAGACCUUCGGGUCUCGUGGCGCACGGGUGCGUAACGCGUGGGAACCUGCCCUUAGGUUCGGAAUAACUCCCCGAAAGGGGUGCUAAUACCGGAUAAUGUCUUCGGACCAAAGAUUUAUCGCCUUUGGAUGGGCCCGCGUUGGAUUAGCUAGUUGGUAGGGUAAAAGCCUACCAAGGCGACGAUCCAUAGCUGGUCUGAGAGGAUGAUCAGCCACACUGGGACUGAGACACGGCCCAGACUCCUACGGGAGGCAGCAGUGGGGAAUAUUGGACAAUGGGCGAAAGCCUGAUCCAGCAAUGCCGCGUGAGUGAUGAAGGCCUUAGGGUUGUAAAGCUCUUUUACCCGGGAUGAUAAUGACAGUACCGGGAGAAUAAGCUCCGUCUAACUACGUG